UAUUGGACAAUGGGGCGAAAGCCUGAUCCCAGCAAUGCCGCGUGAGUGAUGAAGCCCCUUUAGGCCUUGUAAAGCUCUUUUACCCGGGAUGAUAAUGACAGUACCGGGAGAAUAAGCUCCCGGCUAACUCCGUGCCAGCAGCCGCGGUAAUACGGAGGGAGCUAGCGUUGUUCGGAAUUACUGGGCGUAAAGCGCACGUAGGCGGCUUUGUAAGUUAGAGGUGAAAGCCUGGAGCUCAACUCCAGAAUUGCCUUUAAGACUGCAUCGCUUGAAUCCAGGAGAGGUGAGUGGAAUUCCGAGUGUAGAGGUGAAAUUCGUAGAUAUUCGGAAGAACACCAGUGGCGAAGGCGGCUCACUGGACUGUAUUGACGCUGAGGUGCGAAA
Molecule: ribosomal RNA, 384 nt
Filed under: uncultured bacterium
Lineage: Bacteria
Description: bacterial SSU rRNA
Rfam family: Bacterial small subunit ribosomal RNA
Source: RNAcentral